GAUGAACGCUGGCGGCGUGCCUAAUACAUGCAAGUCGAGCGAACAGACGAGGAGCUUGCUCCUCUGACGUUAGCGGCGGACGGGUGAGUAACACGUGGAUAACCUACCUAUAAGACUGGGAUAACUUCGGAAAACCGGAGCUAAUACCGGAUAAUAUAUUGAGCCGCAUGGUUCAAUAGUGAAAGACGGUUUUGCUGUCACUUAUAGAUGGAUCCGCGCCGCAUUAGCUAGUUGGUAAGGUAACGGCUUACCAAGGCAACGAUGCGUAGCCGACCUGAGAGGGUGAUCGGCCACACUGGAACUGAGACACGGUCCAGACUCCUACGGGAGGCAGCAGUAGGGAAUCUUCCGCAAUGGGCGAAAGCUUGACGGAGCAACGCCGCGUGAGUGAUGAAGGUCUUCGGAUCGUAAAACUCUGUUAUUAGGGAAGAACAAAUGUGUAAGUAACUAUGCACGUCUUGACGGUACCUAAUCAGAAAGCCACGGCUAACUACGUG
This 497-nucleotide ribosomal RNA is filed under the name uncultured bacterium. Its description in RNAcentral is "partial 16S ribosomal RNA". It matches the Rfam family "Bacterial small subunit ribosomal RNA", at positions 28 to 507 of the family's 1533-position model. The record is from RNAcentral.